RNAcentral lists this ribosomal RNA (273 nucleotides) under uncultured bacterium. RNAcentral's name for it is "partial 16S ribosomal RNA". It matches the Rfam family "Bacterial small subunit ribosomal RNA", at positions 524 to 796 of the family's 1533-position model. The record is from RNAcentral.
UACGGAGGGUGCGAGCGUUAAUCGGAAUUACUGGGCGUAAAGAGCACGUAGGUGGUUUGGUAAGUCGGAUGUGAAAGCCCCGGGCUUAACCUGGGAAUUGCAUUCGAAACUGCCUCACUAGAGUCUAGCAGAGGGAUGCGGAAUUCCGGGUGUAGCGGUGAAAUGCGUAGAGAUCCGGAGGAACAUCAGUGGCGAAGGCGGCAUCCUGGGCUAAGACUGACACUGAGGUGCGAAAGCGUGGGGAGCAAACAGGAUUAGAUACCCGCGUAGUCC